RNAcentral lists this ribosomal RNA (497 nucleotides) under uncultured bacterium. Its description in RNAcentral is "partial 16S ribosomal RNA". It matches the Rfam family "Bacterial small subunit ribosomal RNA", at positions 28 to 508 of the family's 1533-position model. The record is from RNAcentral.
GAUGAACGCUGGCGGCGUGCCUAAUACAUGCAAGUCGAGCGAACAGACGAGGAGCUUGCUCCUCUGACGUUAGCGGCGGACGGGUGAGUAACACGUGGAUAACCUACCUAUAAGACUGGGAUAACUUCGGGAAACCGGAGCUAAUACCGGAUAAUAUAUUGAACCGCAUGGUUCAAUAGUGAAAGACGGUUUUGCUGUCACUUAUAGAUGGAUCCGCGCCGCAUUAGCUAGUUGGUAAGGUAACGGCUUACCAAGGCAACGAUGCGUAGCCGACCUGAGAGGGGGGGCGGCAAGACGGGAAGAGAGACCCGGCACAGGCGACGAGGGGAGGCAGCGGAGGGGAGUUUGCGGCGAGGGGCUAAGGCUUAACGAAGUAACGCCGUGGGAAAGAUGAAGGUCUUGGGAUCGUAAAACCGUGUUAUGGGGGAAGAACAAAGGUGUAAUUAAUUAUGCCGUUCUAGAGGCUCCGUAAACAGAAGGCCACGGCAAACUAGGGC